RNAcentral lists this ribosomal RNA (456 nucleotides) under Zaglyptus pictilis. RNAcentral describes it as "partial 28S ribosomal RNA". Lineage: Eukaryota; Metazoa; Arthropoda; Insecta; Hymenoptera; Ichneumonidae. The record is from RNAcentral.
CCUGAGAAACCCAAAAGAUCGAAUGGGGAGAUUCAUCGUCAGCGGUACUGGUACGUGUGCGGUUCGCGAUGUCCGGGACUUUGCGUCUCGUGGCACGCGUCCGUAUGUUUUUAUUGCCUGGUAUCGUCGGCGUGCACUUCUCCCCUAGUAGGACGUCGCGACCCGUUGGGUGUCGGUCUACGGCCCGGGUGGGCGCCUGUUCCGUGUGCGCUUUAUCGCGUCACUGCGGGGCAGACCCCCGGUUGCCCGACCGGCUGCUCGGCGGUACUCGCAAGGUAUCUGGCCGCAAAUAUUCGAACUGCGUCCGGCCCGUCGCAAGCGCGGGCGAGUGUUCCCGAAUGCACGGAUCUAAUGCCGUCAUCGGGCCUCACCAGCUGUUGGCCGACGGUGUCCUAGGACUGGCUAUAACAAUUAUGAUACCGGUCAGCGACGCUACUGCUUUGGGUACUUUCAGGA